CCAGUCAGACACCUAGAGGGGAAACAUCCUUGUCAGGUGUUGGCUAUAACAGGGGCUAUAACAGGGGUGAUACAGUUUCUGGUCAGGUGUUGGGCUAUAACAGGGGCUAUAACACGGGUGAUACAGUUUCUGGUCAGGUGUUGGGCUAUAACAGGGGCUAUAACACGGGUGAUACAGUUUAUCUGGUCAGGUGCUGGGCUGUAACAGGGGCUAUAACACGGGUGAUACAGUAUAUCUGGUCAGGUGUUGGGCUAUAACAGGGGCUAUAACACGGGUGAUACAGUUUAUCUGGUCAGGUGCUGGGCUGUAACAGGGGCUAUAACAGGGGUGAUACAGUAUAUCUGGUCAGGUGCUGGGCUAUAACAGGGGCUAUAACAGGGGUGAUACAGUUUAUCUGGUCAGGUGUUGGGCUAUAACAGGGGCUAUAACAGGGGUGAUACAGUUUAUCUGGUCAGGUGUUGGGCUAUAACAGGGGCUAUAACAGGGGUGAUACAGUUUAUCUGGUCAGGUGUUGGGCUAUAACAGGGGCUAUAACAGGGGUGAUACAGUAUAUCUGGUCAGGUGUUGGGCUAUAACAGGGG
RNAcentral lists this long non-coding RNA (581 nucleotides) under Salmo salar (Atlantic salmon). Its description in RNAcentral is "lncRNA (ENSSSAG00000114548.1)". The record is from RNAcentral. Lineage: Eukaryota; Metazoa; Chordata; Actinopteri; Salmoniformes; Salmonidae.